GCAAUACAAUCUAUAUACUCUCACAAUUAGAAUUCACUUUCUUUGCUCAAUUAAGUCCAACCAUGGAGUUGAAGUUUCUUCACAUCCUUACAUAUCUUUCAUUGGCACUAGUGGCAAGUCAUGCAGCUCUUCCUGUUACCUAUUGGAAUACUAAGCUGCCUAAUACUCCAAUACCUAAGGCAAUCAAAGAAUCUCUCCAGCCUUCUGGACUUACGGAAGACAAAAGCACUUCAGUAGAUGUAGGCAAAGGUGGAGUAAACGUCGGAGUCGACAAGGGCCGCCACCACUCCGGUGGAACAAACGUGAACGUUGGAGGCAAUAAAGGCGGCGGCGUUAACGUGGACACUCCAGGUGGGACCCACGUAGGCGUUGGUAAAGGAGGAGUUGGUGUUACAACCCCCGGCCACCAUGGAAAACCACCAGUCUCCGUGGGUGUUCACCCUGGACCCUCACCGUUUGUUUACAAUUACGCGGCGAAAGACGAUCAACUUAACGAUAACCCUAACGUGGCGUUAUUUUUCCUGGAAAAAGAUUUGCAUGAGGGAAGUAACAUGAAGUUGAAGUUUGUGGAAAAUGGCAAUGGAGCUUCGUUUUUGCCCCGUCAAGAGGCGGAUUCGAUUCCGUUUAGCUCAGAGAAGAUGCCGGAGAUACUUCACAAGUUUUCAGUGGAUGAGGAUAGUGAAGAAGGUCAGAUUAUGAAGAAGACAGUAAGAGAAUGUGAAGAGCCAGGUAUUAAAGGAGAGGAGAAGUAUUGUGCAACUUCAUUAGAAUCCAUGAUUGAUUUCACCACAUCAAAGUUAGGAAACAAAGUGCAACCAUUAUCAACAGAGACACAAAAAGAAAACACAGAAAUGCAAAAAUACACAAUCCUAGGAGCCAAGAAAAUGGGAAACAACAAUGACAAAUCAGUAGUUUGUCACAAACAAAACUAUGCCUAUGCAGUAUUUUAUUGUCACAAAACAGAAACAACAGAGUCAUACAUGGUAUCAUUAGUUGGUGUUGAUGGAACAAAAGUUAAGGCUGUGGCUGUUUGUCACAAAGACACAUCACAAUGGAACCCAAAACAUUUGGCUUUUAAAGUUCUUAAGGUUACACCUGGAUCCGUCCCUGUUUGUCAUUUCCUUCCACAAGAUCACAUUGUUUGGGUCCCUAAGAACUAGAAAAUAAUUAGAUGACAUAUGUUUAAUUGUCUUCUAAAAAUUUGGGUUGUUUUUAUGUAUUAUAUGUAAUAAUACAAAGUAUGUUGUGUUUGUCUUAUACUUUUUGUCUUGUUGUAUAAUCAUACUUUACUAUACUAA
RNAcentral lists this unclassified non-coding RNA (1298 nucleotides) under Hevea brasiliensis (rubber tree). The record is from RNAcentral. Lineage: Eukaryota; Viridiplantae; Streptophyta; Magnoliopsida; Malpighiales; Euphorbiaceae.